This is a non-coding RNA of Monodelphis domestica (gray short-tailed opossum), 1107 nucleotides long. Lineage: Eukaryota; Metazoa; Chordata; Mammalia; Didelphimorphia; Didelphidae. The record is from RefSeq and is a predicted model, not a curated record.
GUGUAUAUAUGAAUGUGUUUCUCUCCUCUCUCUCUCUCUCUCUCUCCCUCUCUCUCUCUCUCCCCCCCCCCCAUCCCUUCUCUCAGCAUUACAUAAUUCCUCUCUUCUUCCUUCAAGGCACUAAAAAAUGUAGCACCUUCUACAUUUAGUUCUUUUUUAUUCCCUCAACUGUUAGUGCCCUCCCUCUCCAACCACCUUCUAGUUAACUACUUUGGAUUUAUUUUUAUUUAUUCUCUAUGUUUAUUCUAUUUGUAUUUGUUCUCGAUACACCUAUUCUGAAGAGACUGAUUAAUACACUCAUUGUCUCCAUGAAAAGAGAAGAGAAGCUCCUUGGGGGAAGCAAAAAGAGUGUGGAAGAAAUUUAUGCUACUUCCUGGGGGUACCCAAAAGAAGCUCUUCUCGUUGAUUCCCCAGAACUUGAGGAAUACCAUGAUUUAGGGAGGCAGCUGGCAACCUGAAAACAAAAUGCAGUAGAAAGCAGCCAAGCAGCCAGAUGCCUAGAGCGUCACGUGCAGAUGUUAGGUCGGCUUCAGCACCACUUGGCAUUUUCUUUUGACCAGCAUCAAAAGACUUGUUCUCAGAAUCACUGAACCAAUGUGUGAAUCCAAGCAUUGGAUUCUGGGUACCCAUUCUUCUUUCAGCUGCUCUCUACCUCACUCACACCCCCUAAAGCGUACAGCCCAGCAUGCCAAAAUGAAAAGUGAAAUGGUGAAUUAGUUAAAUAUACAGAGAAAUAGCUACAAGCAAGGGGUGAGAAACAUGUGCCAUGAAUAUUAAUGGAGCAUAGGCAAUUACAAUCAUUAGAGCCUACUUCCUGCGACAAACACACACAAAAAACCAAGACGGCACGUGGCAACCAGUACCUAGUCACAUAGAUCAGGCUGUUGAGAACCUGAUGAAGGUGUGGGAGUAAGCUAUUUCAAUUAGUUUAGAGAAGCCUUCAUCUGACUUUGGUUGUUAGACAUGUUUUUUGGUUAACACCCUAGGCUGCUUACUUACUUCAAAGGUUAUUUCCCUCUCUAAAAAGUUAUGAAAAUAAAAUUAACCUUAUAGCUAAACAUGUGCAAAAUAAAAGGGAAGCAAAAAAUGCAAUAAAAUUAAACAAUU